Molecule: long non-coding RNA, 456 nt
Organism: Manacus vitellinus (golden-collared manakin)
Lineage: Eukaryota; Metazoa; Chordata; Aves; Passeriformes; Pipridae
Source: Ensembl
UGAUUCCUUGUCACGUUCUUCCUGCCACAAAUUCUCUUAGGUACAACUGUAUUCCAAUUAUUAAAAAACCCCACUCUUUUGGCUGUAAUAAACAGGGACCUAAUUUUACAUCAAAAUAACAUCUACAGGAAAUUUCUUUUUCUAUUUUCCUUAGACAUACUCAUUCUCUUCCUACUCAUGUAGACAAUAGAAAAACUUUGUUGAAUAUGACACCUCACUUUUCUUUUAGUCUCAGCAGGAGAUUGAAAAUUUUGAGAAACUAGUGACAUGUUAAGAAGAAUUCCUGAGCAAACAGAAAUUUCUGUGUGGAAAAGGCAAAGUGGAACAAUACCAAGUAGGCAGAUUGAGGAUCCCUCAGCUCAUCUUCCUGAUGAUUAAAAGACUCUUUUGGGAUAUAUGGCUUCCAAUCUGCAUGGAGGAAUGAAACAUUUAACACGAGUCUCCCUGGACUGAAAG